CCUUUAACUUUAAAACUUUUAUUCACUAAAGACAGUCAUGUUCAUCGUAAUGCUCUCCCAAUAAUAUAAAGCUAAAACAUCUGAGUACCCAAACGAAGUCUGCCUUGGAGAAUAAGAUGCCCUUAACUUUAAUACGCAAUCUGGACAGUAGUUCUGAUGCAGCCACGGGGAGCUAGUCGAUUUGUGCAAAUCCAAACAAUCUGAGCCCGCCAGAACGGCAAGAAAACGAACAGAGAAAUGAAUGCAACAUUUGAACUCGUUUUCGGUUUGAGGAAUAGGCAGUUUAUAAAUUUCAAAUUGCAAUUUGGAAAUGCACAGAUGAUGAAGGACAGUGGUGUCAAGCAUCAACCAUGCGAGUGCGGGCCUGAAAGACUUCUUACAAAAGUCCGCUCAGAAUGGCAGUAAUCUUUCAAACAGCAGGCACAAUUGUGGAUUUCGUUCUGACCGUGGAAUGAAGAAAUCCUUGCGUGCAUCAUAUACCAAUUCAUUUUUGUUGAUUGUCAUUUUCCAGUGCGUCUCCCUUAUGGCAAACUCAGAAGAAGAUCGCGUUCUGCAAAUUCGUUUGUUUGCCAAUACUACGAGGACUGAGUUGUCUUUGAGAUUGCAAUGGACCGUUUCUUUUAAGCCUAGAAUCUGUGUGGAAUGUUUGCAUUAAAAUUGACCGACUUUCACAAUGUGAUGCCAAUAUAAAAGCAGUGCAAUAAAUGAUUUAAUGCGAAAUGGU
Molecule: long non-coding RNA, 724 nt
Organism: Rhincodon typus (whale shark)
Lineage: Eukaryota; Metazoa; Chordata; Chondrichthyes; Orectolobiformes; Rhincodontidae
Exons: 3
Source: RefSeq, a predicted model, not a curated record